This is a non-coding RNA of Arachis ipaensis, 971 nucleotides long. The record is from RefSeq and is a predicted model, not a curated record. NCBI's taxonomy places the organism in Eukaryota, Viridiplantae, Streptophyta, Magnoliopsida, Fabales, Fabaceae.
UCUGAAAAUCAGACCGGACCGGCCGAUCUGAUCGGUUUAACCACAAAUCGGUGACUUUUACGGUUUGGUUCCACAUCAAAAACCGUCAGAAUCAAAACCAUUCUCAAACCGCUAAACCGACCGAGAACUGAUCGGUCGGACCAAACCGGGACCUGGCCGGUUUUGAAAAACGGCGUCGUUUUCCAUUCUGAUAGAAAAUGAAAUGGCCAGGUCUCCUGAGCAUCAACCCCUCGAGCCAUUCUUCAAUCUUUCUCCCCAAAACACAACCCUAGGUUAUAAGUCCCCCAUCGCCACAGGGCUCAGCGCCGCCGUUCAUUGCUCUCAAGCACCACCGUGUUUUCGUCCGAUCGUCCGCGCUUCUCACUCAUUCAAAAAUCGGUGAGUCUUCCUCGAGCUCGCCGUCAUUUGCUGCUUCGCUGGUCUUCGUUUGCUCGAACCCUAGCCUCCAUCACUCUCCUCUUCAAGCUGUGUCACCGCCACCGUCGAAUCUGGUCCAACCGCCGUCCCUACUAUUUCAGCAUCGUCGCAGCUCGUCUCUGCUGUCGCGUCGCAUAUGCUCCACUCUCCUCUGCCGUCGCGUCGCGCUGCGAAGGGGAAAGAAGGGGUGGAGGUCGCGGGAGGAGGCACGCGAAGGGUUAAGCCUUUGCUGCUUCUGCCGUGUUUGAGCUCGAAGACGGCCGCCAGUGCUACUACCUCUGUUGCUGCCUCUAUCGUGCCUUACCAUCAUGUUACCACUGAUUUCAUCUGCCCUCAUUCUUGUUCUACUUUAAAAUCAUGCUAAAUUUUUGUUUAUAGGGAGUGAAAAUGGCAUGUUACCUCAAAGAAGAAUGCUGGCAGCCCCAAGAAUGGCAAGCAAAGGAGCUUGAUGAGGCUUGUCACCCUUCAUUGGCCCUUUUCAUGGAUGAGAUCAAGAUUGGAUGAAAUCAAUAACAACAACAUCAACAGCAAGAGUUCUUUGCCUUCUGAUUCAA